Long non-coding RNA from Numida meleagris (helmeted guineafowl), 841 nucleotides. RefSeq lists it as uncharacterized. Lineage: Eukaryota; Metazoa; Chordata; Aves; Galliformes; Numididae. The record is from RefSeq and is a predicted model, not a curated record. The transcript has 4 exons.
CCUCAUUCCCCCUCCUUCAAGUCCUCAAUUUCUUCCUUUAGUUUUCUUUAUCCUCCCUUUCCACCUCUCAUCAUUGCUUAAGAACAACCCACUGCCACUCUUUUCCCCUUACCAGCCCUGCAUUGCUAAAGAAAUUAAGCCAAGAAAAAUCAAACAAAAAAGGGAACAUUUCCUAGAAAACCUUUUCUGCUUUUCACACAUCUUUUUUUCUCCACAGAGAUAUACAUAUGUUGAUUGUGGCUUAACUUACUGUGCGAUUUAGGCUGAUUAGAUUAGAUUGUAAGAUGCCAGGGAUAGAGACUCUCCAAUGCCUUUUAUCUCUGAAAUGCCUGGCAUCCAGUGUCCCCAAGGAAGCGCUCAAGACUAACGAAAAGCUGAACAGUUUCUCUAAAACCUUGGGGAUCUUCUAUCAGCUGUGCCAUGUACACCAGUGUUUUGUGACUUCUCUUGGGACUAACAAAAAAUACUUGCAUUUUUAGAAGCUUGUGAUUUCACUGGAGCCUUGUAUGCUUCUGUGUUUCCUUGAGGUACUUACUUGCACAUGGUAAAACACAAUGCUCACAGGUGCUGGCAUGAGCAUUCCCAGCUGAGCAGACUGUUGGUUGCAUCAAGAGCACUGCAGAAGAGCAGAGGAAGGCUGCCCAGGGGGGUCUGAUAACCCGAACAUCCAGGAACUGGUCAGUCAAGCAAGAAUUUGAGGUGGGCAGAUACAGCCUGCUUCACUUUUUGCAUAUAAACAAUCUUCUGAAUUUAGCUUUUCUUCUGCUUCUACAACCUGAUCUGUGGGUGUGUUUUCAGUAUUGAAGACCUGAGUAGUAGAAAUAAACAGUCUUUCUCUCGU